GAUGAUGAAGUAGGAAAUUGCUGGGUUUAUACAGCCAAACCCUUGAAGCUUAUGUUAAAUGGACCUCUAGGUAAAGCAAAAUAUUGCAGUCUGCUCCACUGGGUUUAAUAGCCCCUCAAAAGAAAACAAGGAGAACAAAGCAGGAGGAAAUGAGCAUGAUCUUUACAGUCAGGGUAUUUGGAAAAAGCGACAGAAAUCAGCCGCAGAGAGCACGGAGUCACCUCUGCACUUCGCAAGCCAGCCGCGGUCGGCCCCAUGCCGUUUCUUCUCUUCCUGCUGGCGGCGGAACUGGUGCUCUUGGGAGAAACGCUGAGUUCAGAAUCAAGUCCUGGUAAAUCUAACGCCGUCAAGUUGCAGUGAGCCAAAAACGAGACGCAAGGUGAAGGUGAAUGGAGAACCACGUAGAUAAAGACAAAGUUCAUGCUGCACGGGACCCAAUCGGCCUGAUACCACGCACAUUUUUCCCCCAAAGGGAAGUGGUCAUCAUGGGCCCAGCCUGCCGCAGUGCCCAACUCCAGAAGGAGCACAGACCAGAGAGCGUGGGCUUCAGAAUCAGAUGAGUUGGGGCCUGCGCGAUUUACGUGACCUCCCUCACGCCCGUGUGCCUGCCUACAAACUGGAAAUAAAAACACCCACCUUGUGAGAUGUUUCAUUGGCGCUUACGUUAAGCUUCCACUCCAUCUUCAUGUCUCUGGAAGGGCACGCAAGACACAGCCACAGCCGCUGCCUCUGGGGCGGGGAUUGGGCGCUGCGAGUUAGAACUGGGAAGAGCACUUUCUUACCACAUACCUUUAGCCUUGUGUGAAUUUUAACCACGUGCAACUGCUGUGUUUUCAAACAAUAAGAGCUACCAACAGAACAACACCACAGAUUUCUCUCCAGCAAACAGUUUGGGGGCAAUUAAGAGAACUAUCUUACCC
RNAcentral lists this long non-coding RNA (920 nucleotides) under Equus caballus (horse). Its description in RNAcentral is "lncRNA (ENSECAG00000045750.1)". The record is from RNAcentral. Lineage: Eukaryota; Metazoa; Chordata; Mammalia; Perissodactyla; Equidae.